This is a long non-coding RNA of Peromyscus californicus insignis, 4880 nucleotides long. RefSeq lists it as uncharacterized. The transcript has 3 exons. NCBI's taxonomy places the organism in Eukaryota, Metazoa, Chordata, Mammalia, Rodentia, Cricetidae. The record is from RefSeq and is a predicted model, not a curated record.
UCGAAUGUUUUCCUUCCUGGAAGAGAGAAACUGAAAGGCAGAACUGAGAAAGCUCUCUGCUCAUUGAUCUUGAGAGUUUCAGGGCAGAAACUGACGUGAAUUCCCAGCACCGGGCUCUGCCUCUUAAAGGAGCCACCAGGAAAUAAAAGCUCGGGUUACUGCGGGCCGCGGGGAAAUCAAAAGGCGUGCGGGGGAGGGGCGCGGGGUGCCCACGGGGCCGCCCCGAGGAGGAUGCCUUUGGGGAACCUCGCAGCGUGGCCCUAGGACUCUCAAGCCUGGUUCAUCCCGCUCCCGCCUCCCCAGGCUGCACCUCCGGGGAACCUGGGCCAUGCACAGUGGGGGCUUUUCUAUGCGCUCCCCGGGGCGCCGAUGCAACCCAGGGACUGCGGUCUAGGAAGGGACUUUCCGGGAAGGACGCGGCGCCGCAGGAGGAAGCGAGACAAUGGCCUUUGUUCUGCGCGGCGACCGCGGCCGCUUUAAGAGAAUCCACCAGGAAAUGGGAGCUCGGGUUACAGGCUGCGCACGGGGAAGUGCGGGGCGCGACGCCGGAGACAAAGCCGCGCGGCCGCGCUCGGGCCCGGGGACGCGGCGGGCGGGGACUCCCCGCGACGGGGGGCGCCCCUCGGCCUGACCUCCCGCCUUCCCCGAUUCGAAAUCCCCCGGCCAUUUAAAGCCACAGUGGCUGCUACCAACCGAAGGAAAGGAGGGCUUAAACAUCCAUUUAUCAGUUGAUUUGUUCAUGUCCUGGAGGUUGAACUCAGGCCUCAUGCGUUCUCAGCUAGUGCUCCACCAUUGACCUUCAUCCCCAGCUAAGCAGUUCUCGUUUUUUCCUUUGCGUCUUCUGAUGUUUGCAGACACCAGAUCUGAUGGGCUUUUGCUAAGUUAAGUCUUGUGCACCCUUAUAUCACUUACCUAUCAAUGGCACCUCUGAUAACUUCUCAGCUUCUAUGAGAUGGGAAGGAGUAGUACCUAAUUAAUAAGAUUUUCAUAAUUAUAAGAGGAUAUGCACGGUAGUCUUUCCUUAUCCAUGGAGGAUGUAUACCAAGAGGCCCAGGAUAUACUUAAAGCCAGACACUACACACAUAUAUGUACGUAUAUAUGUUGUCAUAUAUAUAUAUAUAUACAGACUCUUAUACAUAUAUACAAUAAAGUUUCAUUUAUAAAUUGGGCACAGUAAGAGACUAACCAUAAUUAAUAAUAAAACAGAGCAACUAUAUCCUACUACAAUAAAAGCUAAUAAAACAUACUACUGUGUCUGAAAAUUUGCAUGUCUGUGGCUGACUCUGGGUAACUGGAGCUGGGGAAAGCCAGCCUGUAGGUAUGGGGGACUUCUCUACAAAAAGUUUCUUUAGCAAAACAUUCUAUAUUACAUGUGUUAAUUGGUGUUAGCUAUGAUGAUUGCCUAACCUCGCAACUGAAUUAACUUCCAACUUCCAUUCCUGACAUGUCUUGGCCUUCUCCUGGUGAUUCAUAGAGGUGGCAGUUUGAGGUAGAAUGUCUGUGGUUCCAAAACAAAGUGCACAGUAGCAGCUAUCACAAAAGCUGCAUUUAGCCCAUGGUUGACAGGCUCUGCAAAAGGCCUUUUAGUAAAUACUUUAAGUUUUGUGGGCCAAGAGGCACAACUGAAGACUUUGUGUAAAUACCUAUAUAAUAAGAGGGCUGGAAAGUCCACAUAUUUUUGAACAGUAUUUUCAAUGCAAGUCUAUUAAUGAAAGGAAUGAAAUUCUCUUUGCAGGGAAUAAUUUUUACUGACCUGAGGUUCAAAGCAAGUAUUGUUCUUGUAGCCCAGGCUGGCCUCUAAUCUAUGCCAGAGGAUGGCCUUGAUCUGAGCCUCCAGCCUUCAUCUCCUGAGUGGUGGGUUAACCUCAUGCCUGCCUUUUUUAAUACUGCCUUUUGAUGGGAAUAUACAGGUUUGAUUUUGAAGCUCCUCUUCACCCACAUAGGUGGCACCACACGUUCAUAGGAAUCCAUGAGUGUGUGAUUUUAUUUGACUUUCAGUUCUCUGAAGACAUUUUAAAAAUUCUAUUAGAACUCUACAGAUUCUCACAACAGCUCACCCGGAACCUGCAAAUUAGCUCAGUACAGUUGAAAUUAGGUGGACUCUCCUCAGUGGCAGUCAAAUGGAUCUUAAAUGUGCAAAUAGCCUUUGCACUUCCAAUGACGUUUUUUCAAAAAUCCCUCUUGGAACUGUAGUUUGAGCACAGAAAAACACACCGGUGCUGGAAUGGAGACCUUGCUUCCUGUUUUAACUGUUGACAGAAUGGGGAGUGUGAGGAGCAGCUCAUCAUUAUUUGUGGUGGAAUCGAUGUUAGUUGUAUCAAAAUGAUUUUACUACAGUAGGCAUUUUACUUACCAGCUCUGUUUUCCUUGCAGUUUUAGGUUGAAUUCAUGACAAAACAUUAUCUGUGGCAGAAGCAAAUUUCCAAAGACAAAUUGACCAGGAGUAGCACAUGUCCCAGCAUCAAACUCGGGUCUCCAGAUGUUCGUGGGAAGUGCCUCUACCUGCUGAGCCAUCUCACCAGCCCUCAGUUUAAAUCUUUAAUUAUCACCAUCUACCUUCAAAGUAACUGUGGCCUGGUGUGUCAAUGCAGCCUUUAAUCCAGUGGUUCUCAACCUGUGGCUUCAAAACCUCUUUGGGGUCAAAGGACCAUUUCACAGGGGUCACAUAUCUGAUAUCCUGCAUAUCAGAUAUUUACAUUAUGAUUCAUAACAAUAACAAAGUUACAGUUACUAAGUAGCAACGAAAAUAAUUUUAUGGUUGGAGGUCAUCACAGCAUGAGGAACUGUAUUAAAGGGUCCCAGCAUUAGGGAGGUUGAGAUCCACUGCUUUAAUCCCAGCACGUGGGAGACAGGAAGGCCAAUCUCUGUGAGUUCAAUGCCAGCCUGAUCUACAUAGAAAGUUUCAAGCCAGGGCAAUAAAGUGAGACACAGUCUCAAAACACAAAAGAGAGCAAACAAACAAAAAUAAUGUUACUCUGUUAAUAAUAUACAUAUAAGAAAUUAAUAAUUGCAUAAUUCCAUCUAUCCCUCUCCUAUGCUCUGUGAUACUAUAGUCUUACAUUUUGCUUCUCCUAUUACAAAAUGUGCUGAACACUGUAAUGUUUUGAUGUGUGGAAAUGUGUAACUGUUGUACAUGAUGACUGUGAAAAUAUAUCUCUGAUUUGUGAAGCUAUUUCUCUUUUCUGCUUUUCUCAUUAUUAUUUCAUAUAGAUCUGUCUGACUGUCCACCUAAUAUCACUUCCCUUUGGCCUCAAGCAUUUCUUUCAGCGUCUGUCAGUGAUGAACUCAAUCAGCUUUGGUCUAUCUGAGGGUGUAUUUACUUCAUAUUCAUUUAUGAAGGAUACUUUCACUAUAUAGAAACAUGAAAUUGGUUGAUCGUUUCCCCUUUUGGCAAUUAUUUUUUACAGUUUUUUAUCUUUUCUUUUUUAUGUGUAUGGGUGUUUUGCCUGUAUGUAAGUCUGUGUGAGGAGUGUCAGAUCUUGGAGGUAUAGACAGUUGUGAGCUGGGAAAUGAACCCGGGUCCUCUGGAAGAGCAGUCAGUGCUCUUAACCACUGAGCCAUCUCUCUAACCCAUGUAUGGGUGUUUUGCCUGUAUGUAAGUCUGUACAGCAGGUACAUGUGGUGCAUAUCGAGGCUAGAAGAGGGCACUGGAUCCCCUGACUCUGGAGUUAGAGACCUUUGUGAGUCACCAUGUGGGUCCUGGGAAUUGAACCUAGGUCUUCUGGAAAAGCAGUCAGUGCUGAGUGACUUCUCCAGGCCCCCUCUUGGCAAUUUAAACAUGCAGCUCUUCUCCUGUCUCCAGUUUUUUUCCCCAAGGAAGUAUAUUUCAGUGUUUCUCUUUCCUCACUGUCCCCGGUUCAACUACACUGAUCCUUCCUUGCAUACUGCCCCAGUUUUUCCCUUCAUGUCCCAUGUGUCCUCCCCGAAUCUUUCCACACCACCUAUUUUUCAGCUCUCUCUUGGUCUCCUUUCUGUGUUUUUUUAGGCUUUACAUAUUUACAUCAAUUUAUAUACUUCUAGGCCACAUAUGAGAACAUUCAGUUUUUGUCUUUCUGAGUUUGGGUCACCUCAUUUUAAUAUUGUGCUUUUCAGAUCUAUCAGUUUACCUGAAAUUUUAUUAUUUAAAUUUUUUCUUUCUUUUUGAAUAAAUUCCACUGUAUAGGGGCUGGAAAGAUGGCUUGAAGGUUAAGAGUACUCACUACCCUCAAAAGGGACAUAGGUUCAAUUCCCAUCACCCACAUGGCAAACUCAUAACUAUCUGUAACUGCAGUUACAGGGGGUUCAACACUGUCCUCUGACAUCCAUGAGCAUUACGCAUGCACAUGAUGCACUUAAAAACAUACAGACAAAAAAUGCUUAUACACAUAAAGAUAAAUAAAUUUUAAAAUGUCCUAUUGCAUAUAUGUAACACAUUUUCAUUGUGCAUUCAUCUAUUGAACAUCUAAGUUGGUUCCCUUUCCUUGCUCUAAUGAGUACAGCAGAAAUAACCAUUGUUUUUGUAAAAAUUCACUUAAUAGUUUGUAUUUGGCACAUAGUAUGUGGUGUAUGGCUGCUCUAAAGAUCUCUUUAAAUUUGGUUCCGAAUUCUGGCUAUGGCAUAAUUGUCUCUGCAGUAUUCUGGUUUAUACUGGGCACAGCUCAUGGAACUGUGAGUUGAUAAUUUACUAUUUAUUUUCAAAAAUUCUCAUUAAUUAUCUCUUUAAAUACUUUAUCUGCCUGUUUUCUCUGUCCUCUUAAUACUUUGAUGAUAGAAAUAUUGGAAUAUAUACUCUAUUUUAUCUUUUUUCUUCUUUUAUUUCAGUUUGUUUUUCUGUUUAUUAGUUUUCAAAUUUUUCCCUUCUCUUUUUUUCCAAUUUACUAUUAAACUUACCUAAUUCUUUA